AUUCACCAUAGCAUGGUGAUGGAAGAUCCAGAAUGAGUUUUUCAGUUUUAAGUGCAAGCAAUAGGAAAAGCACUGAGAGGGAUGCUCACCUAUUUCAAGACCCAAAAUGCAAGGAAUUGAUACAAAUGAUGACCAUAUGCUGCUAGAAAAUGCAGAAUGAUUAUUCUAGCUUGAAGUGCAAG
Penaeus vannamei (Pacific white shrimp) is the source of this 182-nucleotide non-coding RNA. The record is from RefSeq and is a predicted model, not a curated record. NCBI's taxonomy places the organism in Eukaryota, Metazoa, Arthropoda, Malacostraca, Decapoda, Penaeidae.